CUGAAAUUCUUUAGCGAUGUUGUUACG
RNAcentral lists this unclassified non-coding RNA (27 nucleotides) under Dictyostelium discoideum. Lineage: Eukaryota; Evosea; Eumycetozoa; Dictyosteliales; Dictyosteliaceae. The record is from RNAcentral.